This 403-nucleotide ribosomal RNA is filed under the name uncultured bacterium. RNAcentral describes it as "bacterial SSU rRNA". It matches the Rfam family "Bacterial small subunit ribosomal RNA", at positions 355 to 775 of the family's 1533-position model. The record is from RNAcentral.
UAGGGAAUAUUGGUAAUGGGCGAAAGCCUGAACCAGCAACGCCGCGUGUGCGAUGAAGGCCUUCGGGUCGUAAAGCACUUUUUGGAGGGAUGAGGAAGGACAGUACCUCCAGAAUAAGCCUCGGCUAACUACGUGCCAGCAGCCGCGGUAACACGUAGGAGGCAAGCGUUAUUCGGAUUUACUGGGCGUAAAGCGCGUGCAGGCGGUUCGGAAAGUUGGAUGUGAAAGCUCCUGGCUUAACUGGGAGAGGUCGUUCAAUACUUCCGGACUUGAGAGUGGGAGAGGGAGGUGGAAUUCCGGGUGUAGUGGUGAAAUGCGUAGAUAUCCGGAGGAACACCAGUGGCGAAAGCGGCCUCCUGGCCCAUUUCUGACGCUCAGACGCGAAAGCUAGGGUAGCAAACGG